Long non-coding RNA from Sphaeramia orbicularis (orbiculate cardinalfish), 134 nucleotides. RefSeq lists it as uncharacterized. NCBI's taxonomy places the organism in Eukaryota, Metazoa, Chordata, Actinopteri, Kurtiformes, Apogonidae. The transcript has 3 exons. The record is from RefSeq and is a predicted model, not a curated record.
UUUCAAUAAAAGUUCUAAUUGCACCACUGUUACAAUGUUGUUGGGGUUGACGGGGGCCUGGAGAUUUUUCAUCCUCCAAAGGGGGGUCUGACAGAUAAAGACUGAGAAGCACUGGUCUAUCCUAACUGCUAACC